This is a non-coding RNA of Phialemonium atrogriseum, 107 nucleotides long. Lineage: Eukaryota; Fungi; Ascomycota; Sordariomycetes; Cephalothecales; Cephalothecaceae. The record is from the annotation of a RefSeq genome assembly.
CCCAAACUGGUGUAAUGGUAACACAUUUGGGAGUCACCAGGGAAGCUCACAGAGCAGAACUGGCCCGAAAGGGGCGGAAGAUCCAGGUUCAAGUCCUGGGUUUGGGA